GCGGCGCGCCUAACACAUGCAAGUCGAACGGACGAGAAGGAGCUUGCUCCUUCAAGUUAGUGGCGGACGGGUGAGUAACACGUGAGCAACCUGCCUUUCAGAGGGGGACAACAGUUGGAAACGACUGCUAAUACCGCAUGAUGCAGUUGGGUCGCAUGGCUCUGACUGCCAAAGAUUUAUCGCUCUGAGAUGGACUCGCGUCUGAUUAGCUAGUUGGCGGGGUAACGGCCCACCAAGGCGACGAUCAGUAGCCGGACUGAGAGGUUGAACGGCCACAUUGGGACUGAGAUACGGCCCAGACUCCUACGGGAGGCAGCAGUAGGGAAUCUUCGGCAAUGGGCGAAAGCCUGACCGAGCAACGCCGCGUGAAUGAUGAAGGCCUUCGGGUUGUAAAAUUCUGUUAUAAGGGAAGAACGACUUUAGUAGGAAAUGGCUAGAGUGUGACGGUACCUUAUGAGAAAGCCACGGCUAACUACGUG
Molecule: ribosomal RNA, 479 nt
Filed under: uncultured bacterium
Lineage: Bacteria
Description: bacterial SSU rRNA
Rfam family: Bacterial small subunit ribosomal RNA
Source: RNAcentral